GACGAAUGCUGGCGGCGUGCCUAAUACAUGCAAGUAGAACGCUGAAGAGAGGAGCUUGCUCUUCUUGGAUGAGUUGCGAACGGGUGAGUAACGCGUAGGUAACCUGCCUUGUAGCGGGGGAUAACUAUUGGAAACGAUAGCUAAUACCGCAUAACAAUGGAUGACACAUGUCAUUUAUUUGAAAGGGGCAAUUGCUCCACUACAAGAUGGACCUGCGUUGUAUUAGCUAGUAGGUGAGGUAACGGCUCACCUAGGCGACGAUACAUAGCCGACCUGAGAGGGUGAUCGGCCACACUGGGACUGAGACACGGCCCAGACUCCUACGGGAGGCAGCAGUAGGGAAUCUUCGGCAAUGGGGGCAACCCUGACCGAGCAACGCCGCGUGAGUGAAGAAGGUUUUCGGAUCGUAAAGCUCUGUUGUAAGUCAAGAACGAGUGUGAGAGUGGAAAGUUCACACUGUGACGGUAGCUUACCAGAAAGGGACGGCUAACUACGUGCCAGCAGCCGCGGUAAUACGUAGGUCCCGAGCGUUGUCCGGAUUUAUUGGGCGUAAAGCGAGCGCAGGCGGUUUGAUAAGUCUGAAGUUAAAGGCUGUGGCUCAACCAUAGUUUGCUUUGGAAACUGUCAAACUUGAGUGCAGAAGGGGAGAGUGGAAUUCCAUGUGUAGCGGUGAAAUGCGUAGAUAUAUGGAGGAACACCGGUGGCGAAAGCGGCUCUCUGGUCUGUAACUGACGCUGAGGCUCGAAAGCGUGGGGAGCGAACAGGAUUAGAUACCCUGGUAGUCCACGCCGUAAACGAUGAGUGCUAGGUGUUGGAUCCUUUCCGGGAUUCAGUGCCGCAGCUAACGCAUUAAGCACUCCGCCUGGGGAGUACGGCCGCAAGGCUAAAACUCAAAGGAAUUGACGGGGGCCCGCACAAGCGGCGGAGCAUGCGGAUUAAUUCGAUGCAACGCGAAGAACCUUACCAAGGCUUGACAUACACCGGACCGCCCUAGAGAUAGGGUUUCCCUUCGGGGCUGGUGUACAGGUGGUGCAUGGUUGUCGUCAGCUCGUGUCGUGAGAUGUUGGGUUAAGUCCCGCAACGAGCGCAACCCUUGCCCUAUGUUGCCAGCACGUAAUGGUGGGGACUCAUGGGAGACUGCCGGGGUCAACUCGGAGGAAGGUGGGGAUGACGUCAAAUCAUCAUGCCCCUUAUGUCUUGGGCUUCACGCAUGCUACAAUGGCCGGUACAGUGGGUUGCGAUACUGUGAGGUGGAGCUAAUCCCUAAAAGCCGGUCUCAGUUCGGAUCGAAGUCUGCAACUCGACUUCGUGAAGUUGGAGUCGCUAGUAAUCGCAGAUCAGCAAUGCUGCGGUGAAUACGUUCCCGGGCCU
Molecule: ribosomal RNA, 1371 nt
Filed under: uncultured bacterium
Lineage: Bacteria
Description: bacterial SSU rRNA
Rfam family: Bacterial small subunit ribosomal RNA
Source: RNAcentral